UACGGGGGGAGCAAGCGUUGUUCGGAUUUACUGGGCGUAAAGGGCGCGUAGGCGGCCACCGCAAGUCGAUUGUGAAAUCUCCGGGCUUAACUCGGAAAGGUCAACUGAUACUGCGGGGCUAGAGUGCGGAAGGGGCAACUGGAAUUCUCGGUGUAGCGGUGAAAUGCGUAGAUAUCGAGAGGAACACCUGCGGCGAAGGCGGGUUGCUGGGCCGACACUGACGCUGAUGCGCGAAAGCCAGGGGAGCGAACGGG
Molecule: ribosomal RNA, 254 nt
Filed under: uncultured bacterium
Lineage: Bacteria
Description: partial 16S ribosomal RNA
Rfam family: Bacterial small subunit ribosomal RNA
Source: RNAcentral